AAGUGCAAUGGAUAGCGCGUUGGACUUCUAAUCCAAGGCCAUGGGUUCGAAUUCCGCCUGAAAUG
Molecule: non-coding RNA, 65 nt
Organism: Trichonephila inaurata madagascariensis
Lineage: Eukaryota; Metazoa; Arthropoda; Arachnida; Araneae; Nephilidae
Source: the annotation of a GenBank genome assembly